This 145-nucleotide ribosomal RNA is filed under the name Scleropages formosus (Asian bonytongue). The record is from RNAcentral. Lineage: Eukaryota; Metazoa; Chordata; Actinopteri; Osteoglossiformes; Osteoglossidae.
GUGGUAGUAUGGUGCUGAACAGGCCUGAUCUCAUCCCCUCUUGAAAGCUAAGUAGGGUCAGGCCAGGUUAGUGCUUGGAUGGGAGACCACCUUGGAAUAGCAGCUGUGUUAGGCUUUGUAGGGAGAGCUGGUAGUGUGGUAGUUA